Molecule: small RNA, 38 nt
Filed under: Xenopus tropicalis (tropical clawed frog)
Lineage: Eukaryota; Metazoa; Chordata; Amphibia; Anura; Pipidae
Description: intergenic adenosine aptamer
Source: RNAcentral
GGGGCUCGGAAGAAACUGCCACAAAAGUGGGGAUCCCC